RNAcentral lists this transfer RNA (75 nucleotides) under Clostridiales bacterium. RNAcentral's name for it is "tRNA-Gly". It matches the Rfam family "tRNA". From Rfam's summary of the family: Transfer RNA (tRNA) molecules are approximately 80 nucleotides in length. The record is from RNAcentral. Lineage: Bacteria; Bacillati; Bacillota; Clostridia; Eubacteriales.
GCGGAAGUGGCUCAGGGGUUGAGCAUCGCCUUGCCAAGGCGAGGGUCGCGGGUUCGAUUCCCGUCUUUCGCUCCA